Molecule: ribosomal RNA, 343 nt
Filed under: uncultured bacterium
Lineage: Bacteria
Description: bacterial SSU rRNA
Rfam family: Bacterial small subunit ribosomal RNA
Source: RNAcentral
GAUGAACGCUAGCGGCAGGCUUAACACAUGCAAGUCGAGGGGCAGCGCGAUGUAGCAAUACAUUGGCGGCGACCGGCGCACGGGUGCGUAACACGUAUGCAACCUUCCCGCCACUGGGGGAUAGCCCGGAGAAAUCCGGAUCAAUACCCCAUAAUUCCCUGGGAGGCAUCUCCUGGGGCUGAAAACUCCGGUGGUGGCGGAUGGGCAUGCGCACGAUUAGCUAGUUGGUGAGGUAACGGCUCACCAAGGCUACGAUCGUUAGGGGGCCUGAGAGGGUUAUCCCCACACUGGUACUGAGACACGGACCAGACUCCUACGGGAGGCAGCAGUGAGGAAUAUUGCG